This 318-nucleotide long non-coding RNA is filed under the name Cricetulus griseus (Chinese hamster). RNAcentral's name for it is "lncRNA (ENSCGRG00015033774.1)". The record is from RNAcentral. Lineage: Eukaryota; Metazoa; Chordata; Mammalia; Rodentia; Cricetidae.
CAGAAGGCGUCCGAUAAGAUAAGGAAGCUGUGAACAUGCCUGAGCAAGUAUUUGUGAAGUAGGAUGUGGAGUCACUGGGCCCAUGUCAAGAAGUAAUAUAGAUCAUUGCUUAGUCCAACUGUCAUCAGAGGAGCUUCACUCAGCAACUAAUGGAAAUAGAUGCAGAGACCCACAGCCAAGCAUUAUUUGGACCUCAGGGAUCCUGUGGAAGAGGUGGAAGAAGGAUUUCGUGAGCCAGAGGGGACAAGGACAAUACAAGAUAGCACUCAGAAUCAACUAACCUGGGCUCAUGGAGAAUUUGCGUGGGACUGAUUUGGG